This 468-nucleotide ribosomal RNA is filed under the name uncultured bacterium. RNAcentral describes it as "partial 16S ribosomal RNA". It matches the Rfam family "Bacterial small subunit ribosomal RNA", at positions 28 to 507 of the family's 1533-position model. The record is from RNAcentral.
GACGAACGCUGGCGGCGUGCUUAACACAUGCAAGUCGAACGGAAAGGCCCUGCUUUUGUGGGGUGCUCGAGUGGCGAACGGGUGAGUAACACGCGAGUAACCUGCCCUUGUCUUUGGGAUAACUUCUGGAAACUGGGGCUCAUACCGGAUAGGAGCUCCUGCUGCACGGUGGGGGUUGGAAAGUUUCGGCGGUUGGGGAUGGACUCGCGGGUUAUCAGCUUCUUGGUGGGGUAGUGGCUUACCAAGGUUUUGACGGGUAGCCGGCCUGAGAGGGUGACCGGCCACAUUGGGACUGAGGUACGGCCCAGAAUCCUACGGGAGGCAGCAGUGGGGAAUAUUGCACAAUGGGCGGAAGCCUGAUGCAGCAACGCCGCGUUCGGGAUGACGGCCUUCGGGUUGUAAACCGCUUUCGCCUGUGACGAAGCGUGAGUGACGGUAAUGGGUAAAGAAGCACCGGCUAACUACGUG